AUGCACGCUGGCGGCGUGCUUCACCCAUGCAAGUCGCACGAUGAAGCCCAGCUUGCUGGGUGGAUUAGUGGCGAACGGGUGAGUAACACGUGAGUAACCUGCCCUUAACUCUGGGAUAAGCCUGGGAAACUGGGUCUAAUACCGGAUAGGAGCGUCCACCGCAUGGUGGGUGUUGGAAAGAUUUAUCGGUUUUGGAUGGACUCGCGGCCUAUCAGCUUGUUGGUGAGGUAAUGGCUCACCAAGGCGACGACGGGUAGCCGGCCUGAGAGGGUGACCGGCCACACUGGGACUGAGACACGGCCCAGACUCCUACGGGAGGCAGCAGUGGGGAAUAUUGCACAAUGGGCGCAAGCCUGAUGCAGCGACGCCGCGUGAGGGAUGACGGCCUUCGGGUUGUAAACCUCUUUCAGUAGGGAAGAAGCGAAAGUGACGGUACCUGCAGAAGAAGCACCGGCUAACUACGUG
This 465-nucleotide ribosomal RNA is filed under the name uncultured bacterium. RNAcentral's name for it is "partial 16S ribosomal RNA". It matches the Rfam family "Bacterial small subunit ribosomal RNA", at positions 29 to 507 of the family's 1533-position model. The record is from RNAcentral.